CCUACUCCUUGACAUCCAGAGAACUUACCAGAGAUGCUUUGGUGCCUUCGGGAACUCUGAGACAGGUGCUGCAUGGCUGUCGUCAGCUCGUGUUGUGAAAUGUUGGGUUAAGUCCCGCAACGAGCGCAACCCUUAUCCUUUGUUGCCAGCGGUNAGGCCGGGAACUCAAAGGAGACUGCCAGUGAUAAACUGGAGGAAGGUGGGGAUGACGUCAAGUCAUCAUGGCCCUUACGAGUAGGGCUACACACGUGCUACAAUGGCGCAUACAAAGAGAAGCGACCUCGCGAGAGCAAGCGGACCUCAUAAAGUGCGUCGUAGUCCGGAUUGGAGUCUGCAACUC
This 340-nucleotide ribosomal RNA is filed under the name uncultured Klebsiella sp. RNAcentral describes it as "bacterial SSU rRNA". It matches the Rfam family "Bacterial small subunit ribosomal RNA", at positions 974 to 1313 of the family's 1533-position model. The record is from RNAcentral. Lineage: Bacteria; Pseudomonadati; Pseudomonadota; Gammaproteobacteria; Enterobacterales; Enterobacteriaceae.